This is a long non-coding RNA of Nelumbo nucifera (sacred lotus), 782 nucleotides long. RefSeq lists it as uncharacterized. NCBI's taxonomy places the organism in Eukaryota, Viridiplantae, Streptophyta, Magnoliopsida, Proteales, Nelumbonaceae. The record is from RefSeq and is a predicted model, not a curated record.
CAUGCAUCUCUCUUAGGUCGUAACUCAAGUUCGCUCUUUUGCUUCCCCCUCUUCCUCCACCUUCUUCUUCUUCUUCUUCUUCUUCUUCUUCUUCUUCUUCUCCUUCGCCGCUGCUUCCAUCCUUUAUCUCCCCUGCUUCGUCUCUCUUCCACCGCCGCCUUCACCACACCCUAUUCCACUAAUUAUUUUCCCCCUUUUUACAGGAGAUUACAAUUCACUCGGUGCUUGUUUUUCUCGCGGCGGCGGUCGUCCGUCAUUUGGUUGGUGGUUUGUGUAGAUCAAAAUGGUUGACAACGCAGACAAGAUGGCAGUGUUGCAAGAAGUUUUAAUUGUUGUAGCUGAUGAUGAAGAGCAAUGGGUGAUGACAAAUGUCCUCAUUGCGAGAGAAUUGAAGAAAGAAGAGAUGCCAAUUCCUAGGACACCCUACCAUGAUGACAUAUUGAUGAGUGGCCUCAUUGAGACCGAGAGGGUUAGUGAAAGACAGUCGAUAUGUAUCAGCCGAUGAACAGGUUGGGAUUCUAUUGCAAGUGAUAGGGCACAACAAAUCAAACCGGAAUUCCAUAGACCAUUUUCAGCAUUCUAGUGAAACAAUUUCACGACACUUUAACAAUGCUUUGAAAGCCAUCUGUGAGUUUGACAAAGAAAUUGUUCAACCUAAUGAUAUGACAGUUGUUCCACCACAAAUUCUCAAUAAUCCGAAGUAUUAUCCAUGGUUUGAGGUAAAUUAUUUUAAUUGUGGGGUGUUUUACUUCUCAAUAUACCAUAAUAACAAAACUUUUGCA